AUGCAGAAGGAAGGGGAGAUCGUACAGUCUCGUCCCAAGAAGAAUCGAGCUGACCUUGCUGAUGAGCUCGAGUUCUUCACGGAGCUCCGCAAUACGCUGAUGAAGGAGAGGUUUGAUUCUUCCAACUCGUACUGUAGAUUGGACACACAGAAGGGACUUGGUUUUGUCAGCAAUCGUAUCAAGGUCUUGCGCAAGCGUCUGGGGAUAACCGCCGGAACUGCCCACAGUUCCCCCGCGAUAUCUGAUCCGACUGACCCCUUGGAGAAGCAUGUGAAUGAUCUCGGUUUGACAAUAGGAGCAGAUCCAAUUCAAGAUGAUUGUGAUGGUAGUGCUGAUGGCUGCGGUGAUGAGGAGGAAGAGGAUGAGAUGGAGUGGGGCAAGCCAGCCAUGGAGGAGGAGGAAGUCCGAAGGAUCACCGGCCCUACACCAAUGUCAGAGAUUGAUGCAGAGGCAGUGAUGGAGGCAGAUGUCCAAGUUACAGAUGUAUCAGAGAAUUUGGUACUCAAACGGUCAAACCUAAUCCCAUUCUCACCAACACAACGGCAAAAGUGCCCAUAA
This 558-nucleotide ribosomal RNA is filed under the name Triticum aestivum (bread wheat). Its description in RNAcentral is "partial small subunit ribosomal RNA". The record is from RNAcentral. Lineage: Eukaryota; Viridiplantae; Streptophyta; Magnoliopsida; Poales; Poaceae.